Molecule: ribosomal RNA, 465 nt
Filed under: Vreelandella stevensii
Lineage: Bacteria; Pseudomonadati; Pseudomonadota; Gammaproteobacteria; Oceanospirillales; Halomonadaceae
Description: partial 16S ribosomal RNA
Rfam family: Bacterial small subunit ribosomal RNA
Source: RNAcentral
CCUACGGGUGGCAGCAGUGGGGAAUAUUGGACAAUGGGCGAAAGCCUGAUCCAGCCAUGCCGCGUGUGUGAAGAAGGCCUUCGGGUUGUAAAGCACUUUCAGUGGGGAAGAAAGCCUUGGGGCUAAUACCCUCGAGGAAGGACAUCACCCACAGAAGAAGCACCGGCUAACUCCGUGCCAGCAGCCGCGGUAAUACGGAGGGUGCGAGCGUUAAUCGGAAUUACUGGGCGUAAAGCGCGCGUAGGCGGUCUGAUAAGCCGGUUGUGAAAGCCCCGGGCUCAACCUGGGAACGGCAUCCGGAACUGGCAGGCUAGAGUGCAGGAGAGGAAGGUAGAAUUCCCGGUGUAGCGGUGAAAUGCGUAGAGAUCUGGAGGAAUACCAGUGGCGAAGGCGGCCUUCUGGACUGAAACUGACGCUGAGGUGCGAAAGCGUGGGUAGCAAACAGGAUUAGAUACCCGGGUAGUC